Molecule: unclassified non-coding RNA, 640 nt
Filed under: Hevea brasiliensis (rubber tree)
Lineage: Eukaryota; Viridiplantae; Streptophyta; Magnoliopsida; Malpighiales; Euphorbiaceae
Source: RNAcentral
GCGUCCUGUGUCGUCAAUCUUCAUCAAUCCAUAAUCUGAUGCACGGCUGUCAUUCAUAGGUACACAUGAAACAGUAAUAUCUGCAUUUGUGUCAAUAUGCUUCUGCACAAACUCCAUAUAGUCUGUCCGAUAAAGAUGAUCACCAGACAAAAUCAAUACAUGCUCCACGUUCUUGUUCUUUGCAUCCUCAAACACCCAAAUGAAUUGCCGCACCGCAUCGGCAGUUCCUUGGAACCACUUUUUUCCUGCCUCUCCUGGCGUUUGAGUUGCAGCCAGAACCUCCACAAACCCAUCUCCAAAAUUAACACCAUUUCCAAAGUUAUAGGUGCGAGCAAGGUGACGGUUGAGGGAGAAGGAAUUGAACUGUGUUAAAAUAAAAAUCUUCUGAAUACCACUAUUAAUGCAGUUACUCAUUGGAAUAUCAAUCAGCCUGUAACACCCUCCAAGUGGAACCGCAGGCUUGGCUCUUUGGCUAGUAAGUGGAAAGAGCCGUGUCCCAGCACCUCCACCUAAUAUGAUCGCAGCUACGUUUUUGGGAUCUGCCAUCGGUGUCUCAAAAGCCGUCGCAUCAAAUGUCACAGUUUCUUUGUUAACAUCAGAUGUAAGAACAGAGUAGGUGACUCGAGGCUUGACCUUUUUG